GGAGAGAUGGCCGAGGGGUCUAAGGCGCUCGCCUGCUAAGCGAGUGAACGGGCUUAAACCUGUUCCGCGGGUUCAAAUCCCGCUCUCUCCG
Molecule: transfer RNA, 91 nt
Filed under: Deltaproteobacteria bacterium
Lineage: Bacteria; Pseudomonadati; Myxococcota; Myxococcia
Description: tRNA-Ser
Rfam family: tRNA
About the family: Transfer RNA (tRNA) molecules are approximately 80 nucleotides in length. Their secondary structure includes four short double-helical elements and three loops (D, anti-codon, and T loops).
Source: RNAcentral